GGGCCUCGCCCUGCCCCGCGGCGGGAACGCGGCCGUGAGGGUGUGGGGUGUAGGUCCGCCAGGCCUGCAACGGCUGCCGAGGGUCGUGGGAUGCGCUCGCCGCGUCCCUGCUCAGGCGGAGGGAGCCCGGCCCGCCGCCAGGGUCUCGAGUCCGGGUCCAGGCAGGCGUGGAGGUGGCGGGAACGGCGCACCGCCCGGGUGGGCGUUGUUUUAAGGCCGCAGGGCUUGGGAGGCUUGUGUUGAGUUACAGGAGUAUGACAACUUUUCAACUUGAGUGCACACACUGUCCCCGGAAUCCCGCGUUCCAGGGAGGAAGCGCCUUUGACAGCGCGCGCCGGUUCGUGGGGCCCGACGGCGUGGGCCUGUGGUUGCGGACCUGGCGGAGAUGCGCGUUCGCUUCGAUUGUAGGCCAUUCCUUUUAGGAGCUGAGAAAGGAUCCGUUUUUACAGCAUUCUCGACCUGUGAUUCUUGGUGGGGGAAACUAGUUAUGUGGAUAAAAAUACAGUUAGCAAAAUAAAAAUGCCAAUUUUACAUUUCCUU
RNAcentral lists this long non-coding RNA (540 nucleotides) under Homo sapiens (human). RNAcentral describes it as "non-protein coding lnc-TWIST2-14:2". Lineage: Eukaryota; Metazoa; Chordata; Mammalia; Primates; Hominidae. The record is from RNAcentral.